This 241-nucleotide unclassified non-coding RNA is filed under the name plant metagenome. RNAcentral describes it as "partial contains small subunit ribosomal RNA, internal transcribed spacer 1, and 5.8S ribosomal RNA". The record is from RNAcentral.
UUUCCGUAGGUGAACCUGCGGAAGGAUCAUUAUUGAAUGAAACACUUCUGGCUUUCUCCUGUUGUGCUGGCCCUUUGGGCAAUGUGCACACGGCUCUGGUCACUUGUUUCUUCUGUUCCACCUGUGCACUGCCUGUAGACACGCUGUGUCUAUGAUAUUUGUUAACACACGACAAUGUUAGUUGGCAUGUUAUAUAUAAUAAUAAAAUAUACAACUUUCAACAACGGAUCUCUUGGCUCUC